RNAcentral lists this transfer RNA (74 nucleotides) under Dreissena polymorpha. RNAcentral describes it as "tRNA-Lys". The stretch from base 11 to 66 matches the Rfam family "tRNA", at positions 10 to 63 of the family's 71-position model. Rfam says of the family: Transfer RNA (tRNA) molecules are approximately 80 nucleotides in length. Their secondary structure includes four short double-helical elements and three loops (D, anti-codon, and T loops). Lineage: Eukaryota; Metazoa; Mollusca; Bivalvia; Myida; Dreissenidae. The record is from RNAcentral.
AGCUUGGAAUGCUGAGUGGUUUAAGCGUUUAACUUUUACUUAAGGAAUUAUUGGUUCAAGCCCAGUUGAGGUUA